Anneissia japonica is the source of this 261-nucleotide long non-coding RNA. RefSeq lists it as uncharacterized. Lineage: Eukaryota; Metazoa; Echinodermata; Crinoidea; Comatulida; Comatulidae. The record is from RefSeq and is a predicted model, not a curated record. The transcript is spliced from 3 exons.
UUCAUUUAGGGAUAAAUACAACCCCAGAAUUUGACUUUGAUUAUACAACCGAAAUAGUUUCAACAUCGCAAGAAACUGACUUGGGAUCAAAAACUGAUGUUGUAUGCAGUGGUUCCUAUAUGACCGUUUACUUGGACGCUUCCCUUGAAAACGCCAACAAUGCGCACUUCAUUGAUUCUUCGUGUACUGCCGCUGGGUAUGUUUAUCGAAACGGCAUUCGAUGGAUCUAUCUUUACACUCGUUAUGACCAAUGUCAAACCU